This 715-nucleotide ribosomal RNA is filed under the name uncultured Bacteroidales bacterium. Its description in RNAcentral is "bacterial SSU rRNA". It matches the Rfam family "Bacterial small subunit ribosomal RNA", at positions 28 to 730 of the family's 1533-position model. Lineage: Bacteria; Pseudomonadati; Bacteroidota; Bacteroidia; Bacteroidales. The record is from RNAcentral.
GAUGAACGCUAGCUACAGGCUUAACACAUGCAAGUCGAGGGGCAGCAUGGUCUUAGCUUGCUAAGGCUGAUGGCGACCGGCGCACGGGUGAGUAACACGUAUCCAACCUGCCGUCUACUCUUGGCCAGCCUUCUGAAAGGAAGAUUAAUCCAGGAUGGCAUCAUGAGUUCACAUGUCCGCAUGAUUAAAGGUAUUUUCCGGUAGACGAUGGGGAUGCGUUCCAUUAGAUAGUAGGCGGGGUAACGGCCCACCUAGUCAACGAUGGAUAGGGGUUCUGAGAGGAAGGUCCCCCACAUUGGAACUGAGACACGGUCCAAACUCCUACGGGAGGCAGCAGUGAGGAAUAUUGGUCAAUGGGCGAUGGCCUGAACCAGCCAAGUAGCGUGAAGGAUGACUGCCCUAUGGGUUGUAAACUUCUUUUAUAAAGGAAUAAAGUCGGGUAUGCAUACCCGUUUGCAUGUACUUUAUGAAUAAGGAUCGGCUAACUCCGUGCCAGCAGCCGCGGUAAUACGGAGGAUCCGAGCGUUAUCCGGAUUUAUUGGGUUUAAAGGGAGCGUAGAUGGAUGUUUAAGUCAGUUGUGAAAGUUUGCGGCUCAACCGUAAAAUUGCAGUUGAUACUGGAUGUCUUGAGUGCAGUUGAGGCAGGCGGAAUUCGUGGUGUAGCGGUGAAAUGCUUAGAUAUCACGAAGAACUCCGAUUGCGAAGGCAGCCUGCU